Molecule: ribosomal RNA, 512 nt
Filed under: uncultured bacterium
Lineage: Bacteria
Description: bacterial SSU rRNA
Rfam family: Bacterial small subunit ribosomal RNA
Source: RNAcentral
AGCCUACCAAGGCGACGAUCGGUAGCUGGUCUGAGAGGAUGAUCAGCCACAAUGGGACUGAGACACGGCCCAUACUCCUACGGGAGGCAGCAGUGGGGAAUUUUACGCAAUGGGCGAAAGCCUGACGUAGCGACACCGCGUGAACGAAGAAGCCUCUUGGGGUGUAAAGUUCUGUCAGCUGGAACGAAAAAAAUGACGGUACCAGCAGAGGAAGCAUCGGCUAACUACGUGCCAGCAGCCGCGGUAAGACGUAGGAUGCAAGCGUUGUCCGGAUUUAUUGGGCGUAAAGAGUUCGUAGGUGGUUUGUUAAGUUUGGUGUUAAAGAUUGGGGCUCAACCCUGAAACUGCACUGAAUACUGGCAGACUCGAGUGUGGUAGAGGCUAGUGGAAUUCCCAGUGUAGCGGUGAAAUGCGUAGAUAUUGGGAAGAACACCGGUGGCGUAGGCGACUAGCUGGGCCAUAACUGACACUGAGGAACGAAAGCCAGGGUAGCGAAUGGGAUUAGAUACCCC